ACAACCUUAUCUCCUUGCUUCUUUCUUACUCAUUUUUUCCUCCCCUGUUUUAUUUUCUUUAUCAAAAAAGCUACCACUCUAACAUCAGGGGAUUGAGGUUUAAGGUUUGAUGGUUGCAAGCAAUUGUUGAGGCAAAGGACGUGAUUGUUUCUAAUCUCUUCUAUUUUCAUUUGGGCAAUCUAGAUCAGCUCCUCCUAUCUUUUCUCAACACAUGAAUUCACAAUGUUGGGGAACUGCUUUUGAUUGAUCCUGCAACCCUAAAACUCACCAACUUGCGAGCUAUGCGUAUGAAAAUCAGGAACGUUCAUGGAAUUAACUCUAUACCUAGAGUUAUCAAGCUCUUCUCCGGCAAACAGCUUUUUACGGCUCAUAUCAAAGUCACAGGAAGGUCUUCAUCGGCUGACUCUAGUUUUCUCAUCGCACCCCCUGUGUAUACGGAUCUAGAUUUGAAUUCCAUACCAACCACUCGAGAUUCUUCGGAGAUUUUCAGAGCUAAGAAAAGAAAGUAUUUCAAGAAUUUUGA
This is a long non-coding RNA of Papaver somniferum (opium poppy), 523 nucleotides long. RefSeq lists it as uncharacterized. The record is from RefSeq and is a predicted model, not a curated record. NCBI's taxonomy places the organism in Eukaryota, Viridiplantae, Streptophyta, Magnoliopsida, Ranunculales, Papaveraceae. The transcript has 2 exons.